GCCAGGCAUGCUGAUGCAUGCCUGUAAUCCCAGUUACUCAGGAGGCUGAGGCAGGAGAAUCACUUGAACCUGGGAGGUGGAGGUUGCAGUGAGCUGAGAUUGCACCACUGCACUCCAGCCUGAGUGACAGAGUGAGACCCUGUCUCAA
This 148-nucleotide non-coding RNA is filed under the name Pan troglodytes (chimpanzee). Lineage: Eukaryota; Metazoa; Chordata; Mammalia; Primates; Hominidae. The record is from Rfam by way of RNAcentral.